AGAGUUUGAUCAUGGCUCAGGAUGAACGCUAGCUACAGGCUUAACACAUGCAAGUCGAGGGGCAGCAGGACGAUAGCUUGCUAUUGUUGCUGGCGACCGGCGCACGGGUGAGUAACGCGUAUCCAACCUUCCCCUUAGUAGGGCAUAGCCCGGUGAAAAUCGGAUUAAUACCCUAUGUUGUGUCAUGAGGACAUCUGAAUAACACUAAAGAUUUAUCGCUAAGGGAUGGGGAUGCGUCCGAUUAGGUAGUCGGCGGGGUAACGGCCCACCGAGCCCUCGAUCGGUAGGGGUUCCGAGAGGAAGGUCCCCCACACUGGUACUGAGACACGGACCAGACUCCUACGGGAGGCAGCAGUGAGGAAUAUUGGUCAAUGGGCGUAAGCCUGAACCAGCCAAGUAGCCGUGCAGGAUGACGGCCCUAUGGGUUGUAAACUGCUUUUAUACGGGGAUAAAGUGAGGGACGUGUCCCUUAAUUGUAGGUACCGUAUGAAUAAGGACCGGCUAAUUCCGUGCCAGCCGCUGC
This 523-nucleotide ribosomal RNA is filed under the name uncultured bacterium. RNAcentral's name for it is "bacterial SSU rRNA". It matches the Rfam family "Bacterial small subunit ribosomal RNA", at positions 8 to 518 of the family's 1533-position model. The record is from RNAcentral.